This 403-nucleotide ribosomal RNA is filed under the name uncultured bacterium. RNAcentral's name for it is "bacterial SSU rRNA". It matches the Rfam family "Bacterial small subunit ribosomal RNA", at positions 356 to 773 of the family's 1533-position model. The record is from RNAcentral.
AGGGAAUAUUGCGCAAUGGACGAAAGUCUGACGCAGCGACGCCGCGUGAGUGAUGAAGGCCUUAGGGUCGUAAAGCUCUGUUGAAUGGGAAGAAAAAAAUGACGGUACCAUUCGAGGAAGGACCGGCUAACUUCGUGCCAGCAGCCGCGGUAAUACGAGGGGUCCUAGCGUUGUUCGGAAUCAUUGGGCGUAAAGGGUGUGUAGGUGGCCAUGUAAGUCAGGUGUGAAAGCCCCGGGCUCAACCCGGGAAGUGCACUUGAUACUGCGUGGCUUGAGUACCGAAGAGGGUAGUGGAAUUCCAGGUGUAGUGGUGAAAUACGUAGAUAUCUGGAGGAACACCGGUGGCGAAGGCGGCUACCUGGUCGAGUACUGACACUGAGACACGAAAGCAUGGGGAUCAAAC